UACGGGGGGGGCAAGCGUUGUUCGGAAUUACUGGGCGUAAAGGGCUCGUAGGUGGCCAACUAAGUCAGACGUGAAAUCCCUCGGCUUAACCGGGGAACUGCAUCUGAUACUGGAUGGCUUGAGUUCGGGAGAGGGAUGCGGAAUUCCAGGUGUAGCGGUGAAAUGCGUAGAUAUUGGGAAGAACACCGGUGGCGAAGGCGGCUAUCUGGCCCGUAAUUGACGCUGAGGCGCGAAAGCGUGGGGAGCAAACAGG
RNAcentral lists this ribosomal RNA (253 nucleotides) under uncultured bacterium. Its description in RNAcentral is "partial 16S ribosomal RNA". It matches the Rfam family "Bacterial small subunit ribosomal RNA", at positions 524 to 776 of the family's 1533-position model. The record is from RNAcentral.